AAUAACUGAUUUAACGAGUGAGUGGAAUGAAAGCCUUCAUGUUGAGCUGAAACACUCCCAAUAAUACUCCUACAUGCAGAGAAAGUUGAUAGACUGCACUGUAUGAAGCUAGGUGAAGACGCAUGAAGAAAGCCUAAGUACAUGACAACAUGUAUAUGGCAAUUGAUAAUGCGGUUGGCUAUAAA
This is a non-coding RNA of Bacillus thuringiensis serovar huazhongensis BGSC 4BD1, 185 nucleotides long. NCBI's taxonomy places the organism in Bacteria, Bacillati, Bacillota, Bacilli, Caryophanales, Bacillaceae. The record is from Rfam.